RNAcentral lists this long non-coding RNA (2877 nucleotides) under Sus scrofa (pig). RNAcentral describes it as "lncRNA (ENSSSCG00025020980.1, ENSSSCG00035008642.1, ENSSSCG00055022762.1)". Lineage: Eukaryota; Metazoa; Chordata; Mammalia; Artiodactyla; Suidae. The record is from RNAcentral.
UGCUAGGAAAACUGAAUAUCCCACAUGCAAAAGACUGAAGUUAAACCUUUAUUAGACCCUUAUCUUACACCAUGUACAAAAAUUGACUCAAGAUGGUUAAAAGACCUAAAUAUAAGACCAAAAUUAUCCUAGAAAAAAACAAAAGGGGAAAGGCUUAGGACAUUAGAUUUGGCAGUGAUAUCCUGAGCAUGACACCAAAUGCAUGGGCAACAAAAAUAAAAAUAGACAAAGGGAACUACAUCAAGCUUAAGAACUUCUGUGUAUCAAAGGAAACAACAGAAUGAAAGGUAACCUAUGGAAUGAGAGGAACCUUUGCAAGUCAUAUAUCUGGCAAAGGGUUAAUAUCUAGAAUAUCUAACAAACUUACACAAUUCAACAACAAAUUACUUGAUCAGAAAAUGGGCACAUGAUUUUACAGACAGUUCUUUAAAGAAGAUAUGCAAAUAGCCAACAAAUACAUGAAAAGAUGCUUAACAUCACUAAUUGUAAGAAAAAUGCCAUGAACAUUACAAUUAGAAAUGCAAUUAAAAUUAUAAUCUCACACCCAUUAGGAUGGUGACCAUCAAAAGAAUAGAAAGUAACAAAUGUUGGUGAGGAUAUAGAGAAACUGGAAUCCUUGAGUACUGUUGGUGAAGGAAGUACAAAAGGUGUAGCUAUUAUGGCUACUAGUAUAUAGGUUUCCCCAAAAUCAAAAAUGAAAUUGCCAUAUGAUCUAGCAAACUCACCUCUGAGUAUAUAUCUGGAAGAAUUUAAGACAGGGUCUUAUAGAGAUAUUUGCGCAGUCAUGUUCAUUGCAACAUUAUUCACAAUAGCUAAGAGGUGGAAGCAACCUAAAUGUCAAUGUCAGGUGAAUGGAUAAACAAAAUGAGGUAUAUACAUACAAUGCACUAUUAUGUAGCCUUUAAAGAAGAAGGAAGUCUGUCACAUGCCACAGCAUGGAUAUUAUGCUCAGUGAAAUAAGCCAGUCACAAAAGAACAAAUACUAUAUGAUUCUACUCAUGAAAUGUUUAAAUUAGUCAAAAUCAUAGAAAAAAAGUAGAAAGUUGUUUGCCAAGGGUUAAGCAGAGAGGGAAAGGGGGAAUUAGUGUUUAAUGUGAAUAGUUUCAGUUUUGCAAGAUGAAAAAGUUCUAGAGAUCUAUUGUACCACGAUGUCAAUAUACUUAACAUUAUUGAACUGUAUAUUUAAAAAUGGUUAAGACAGUAAACUUGAUGUUACAUGUUUUUUAACACACACGUACACAUGCAAGAAUUAGCUGUGCAAAGUAUUGUUUCCAAAAAAGUACAAGUUGAAUGUGUAUCUGGGCUAAUCUUCUAAUUAUGUCCUAAUAAAUAUAAUUAGUUCUGGAGUUGGAAAUUCUAACUCACAUAUGAUUACCAAGUCUUUUUUUUUAUUUUUUUAUUUUUUGGCUGUGCUUGUGGUGUGUGGAAGUUAGUGGUCCAGGAACUGAACCUGUGCCACAGCAAGUGAACAGAGCCACAGCAGUGACAAUGCCGAGUCUUUAACCCCCUGUGUCACAAGGAAACUCCUGAUUGGUCAAGACUUUAUGGCCAAUGAGUAGCACAGUACUGACAAAUUCUACAUUAAUCACUAGGCAGAUAUCUUAGGAGUUUUAUGCCAAAUUUAUAAUUUUCCUUAAAAAGAGAGCUAUUGGUUUGUAGGGACAAAAUAUAGUGGCAGAUGAAACCAAAACAAGAAUGAUUAUUCACAUUUUGGUGUGACAAUCCCAGUUGGUUCCUGGGUGAAUUUCAUUCUAUUUUGCCUGACAUCAAGAUCCCAACAUACAUGGCUCAUUAGUGCUUGUAGGCAUUUCUAUAAUGGCGAUUUAUUACAUUUCACGUGACAGAAUCUGUCCUUUGAAGAACUGUUUUCUGACUCUUUCAACCCGCAACACCUGCCAAAUCAAGUGGUCUGCUCUCGUUCCCUGUUCCCAUACAGACUCUGGAAGUUUUUGUGUGCAGGAGAGCAGGACUGAAAAGCUUUGGCAGGAAGGUCUUUGCAGCAGCCUGCCUGUCGAACUGCAUGGAUCAACAAUUUCUCAAUUAGAAGAAGAUAGACGAGAAGAUAAAGCAUGCGGUGACUGUAAAGCUUCAAGCAGCAGCUGAGGAAGAUUUUGGAACAUCUGGUCGGAAUCGAUUUCUUUUUAGGAACUUCGAAAGUUUGUUCCCCAGUCUCUCCUGCAAGUUCCCAAAUGCUUCUUUAGUUGCAGAAAAUGCAGAAAGAAGAGAAGGGGAACAAAGACUCAGAAGACUGAACCCGAGAGCCAGAUGGUUAAUUGAACUAUGAAGGGCAAAGGGAAGCCGAAAAAAACCAGACCAUUAGGGAAGGAUCAUAUAAGGGCUCCCAGGGCUGAGGAAAUCAAGUGGUAUACCACUUUAAAUGUUUGACCAUGAACGAGUCUUUGGAGAGUCACUUUUCUAAGUUUAGGAAUCAAAGAAAAAGUUGUCCCGCUGCAGAUUGAUCUAUUUGCUGGCGGGCUGAACUGGAGAUUAUGGCUUCGGAGCCGGCUGUCCUUGUUGGAGGACACAAUGCACCAUAGAUUUUUAUUUUCACGAAACAGACUCCAGAGGUUUGCGGCCUUCCAGACAGCAGCUGGCGCCGGGCAGAGGCAUCGCUUCGGGCCGGAGCUACUGGCGACCGCGCGGCGCUUGGCUGUGCGUCCCAGGCAGUCGAGCCAGCACCGCAGCCGGAGCCUUCCCAUCCGAGCAGACGCUGUUCCCUUCUGGAAGAACUCUGGGGGCUCGCAACUGACUGUUCCUCAGCAAAUUUGGGGAAGAGGACCUGGUUUAAAGAAAAGGAGGGAGUAGCUUUGGAAAAGGGUUGGCUCCUCCUUAUAACUCUGGUGCCUGAAGCGGGUGAGAUAGAUGGUGGCCAAAUAA